RNAcentral lists this ribosomal RNA (468 nucleotides) under uncultured bacterium. RNAcentral describes it as "partial 16S ribosomal RNA". It matches the Rfam family "Bacterial small subunit ribosomal RNA", at positions 28 to 507 of the family's 1533-position model. The record is from RNAcentral.
GAUGAACGCUGGCGGCGUGCUUAACACAUGCCAGUCGAACGGAAAGGCCCAAGCUUGCUUGGGUACUCGAGUGGCGAACGGGUGAGUAACACGUGGGUGAUCUGCCCUGCACUUCGGGAUAAGCCUGGGAAACUGGGUCUAAUACCGGAUAGGACCACUUCUUGGAUGUUGUGGUGGAAAGUUUUUCGGUGUGGGAUGAGCUCGCGGCCUAUCAGCUUGUUGGUGGGGUAAUGGCCUACCAAGGCGUCGACGGGUAGCCGGCCUGAGAGGGUGUACGGCCACAUUGGGACUGAGAUACGGCCCAGACUCCUACGGGAGGCAGCAGUGGGGAAUAUUGCACAAUGGGCGCAAGCCUGAUGCAGCGACGCCGCGUGGGGGAUGACGGCCUUCGGGUUGUAAACUCCUUUCGCUAGGGACGAAGCUUAUUUUGUGACGGUACCUGGAGAAGAAGCACCGGCUAACUACGUG